RNAcentral lists this ribosomal RNA (470 nucleotides) under uncultured bacterium. RNAcentral describes it as "bacterial SSU rRNA". It matches the Rfam family "Bacterial small subunit ribosomal RNA", at positions 29 to 516 of the family's 1533-position model. The record is from RNAcentral.
AACAAACGCUGGCGGCGUGCCUAAUACAUGCAAGUCGAACGGGGAAAGCCUUCGGGUGAGUACUAGUGGCGCACGGGUGAGUAACACGUGGGUAAUCUUCCUCGAAGCGUGGGAUAACUAGUCGAAAGAUUAGCUAAUACCACAUAAGACCACAGGAUCUGCGGAUCCAGAGGUCAAAGUUUUUCGCUUUGAGAUGAGCCCGCGCAAGAUUAGCUAGUUGGUGAGGUAAUGGCUCACCAAGGCAACGAUCUUUAGCUGGUCUGAGAGGAUGAUCAGCCACACUGGAACUGAGACACGGUCCAGACUCCUACGGGAGCAGCAGUAGGGAAUAUUGCACAAUGGAGGAAACUCUGAUGCAGCGACGCCGCGUGAGUGAUGAAGGACUUCGGUUCGUAAAGCUCUGUCGUAUGGGAAUAAGAAAGUGAAUGUACCAUGCAAGAAAGGAUCGGGCUAACUUCGUGCCAGCAGCC